CCAGACUCCUACGGGAGGCAGCAGUGGGGAAUAUUGCACAAUGGGGGAAACCCUGAUGCAGCGACGCCGCGUGAGUGAAGAAGUAUUUCGGUAUGUAAAGCUCUAUCAGCAGGAAAGAAAAUGACGGUACCUGACUAAGAAGCCCCGGCUAACUACGUGCCAGCAGCCGCGGUAAUACGUAGGGGGCAAGCGUUAUCCGGAUUUACUGGGUGUAAAGGGCGUGUAGGCGGGAGUGCAAGUCAGAUGUGAAAACCACGGGCUCAACCUGUGGCCUGCAUUUGAAACUGUACUUCUUGAGUACUGGAGAGGCAGACGGAAUUCCUAGUGUAGCGGUGAAAUGCGUAGAUAUCAGGAGGAACACCGGUGGCGAAGGCGGCCUGCUGGACUGUAACUGACACUGAGGCUCGAAAGCGUGGGGAGCAAACAGGAUUAGAUACCCCUGUA
RNAcentral lists this ribosomal RNA (444 nucleotides) under uncultured bacterium. RNAcentral's name for it is "bacterial SSU rRNA". It matches the Rfam family "Bacterial small subunit ribosomal RNA", at positions 331 to 792 of the family's 1533-position model. The record is from RNAcentral.